This 253-nucleotide ribosomal RNA is filed under the name uncultured bacterium. Its description in RNAcentral is "partial 16S ribosomal RNA". It matches the Rfam family "Bacterial small subunit ribosomal RNA", at positions 524 to 776 of the family's 1533-position model. The record is from RNAcentral.
UACGUAGGGUGCAAGCGUUGUCCGGAAUUAUUGGGCGUAAAGAGCUCGUAGGCGGUUUGUCGCGUCUGCUGUGAAAACUCGGGGCUUAACUCCGGGCCUGCAGUGGGUACGGGCAGACUAGAGUGCGGUAGGGGAGACUGGAAUUCCUGGUGUAGCGGUGGAAUGCGCAGAUAUCAGGAGGAACACCGGUGGCGAAGGCGGGUCUCUGGGCAGUAACUGACGCUGAGGAGCGAAAGCGUGGGGAGCGAACAGG